UUUGAUCCUGGYUCWGGAUGAACGCUAGCGGCAGGCCUAAUACMUGCAAGUCSAACGGCAGCMCSAGUAGCAAUACUUGGUGGCGAGUGGCGCACGGGUGCGUAACGCGUAUGCAAUCUACCCUUGACUGGGGAAUAGCCCCSAGAAAUCGGGAUUAAUACUCCAUAACAUCAUUAAGAGGCAUYUCUUGAUGAUCAAAGUUCAGACGGUCAAGGAUGAGCAUGCGUGACAUUAGCUAGUUGGUGAGGUAACGGCUCACCAAGGCGACGAUGUCUAGGGGUUCUGAGAGGAUUAUCCCCCACACUGGUACUGAGACACGGACCAGACUCCUACGGGAGGCAGCAGUAAGGAAUAUUGGGCAAUGGACGCAAGUCUGACCCAGCCAUGCCGCGUGCAGGAUGACAGCKCUACGGGUUGUAAACUGCUUUUGUACGGGAAAAACCCYUCGGACGUGUCCGGGGCUGAUGGUACCGUAAGAAUAAGGAUCGGCUAACUCCGUGCCAGCAGCCGCGGUAAUACGGAGGAUCCAAGCGUUAUCCGGAUUCAUUGGGUUUAAAGGGUCCGCAGGCGGAUUAAUAAGUCAGGGGUGAAAUCCUACGGCUCAACCGUAGAACUGCCCUUGAUACUGUUAGUCUAGAGUACAGUUGAGGUGGGCGGAAUGUGUCAUGUAGCGGUGAAAUGCAUAGAUAUGACACAGAACACCGAUCGCGAAGGCAGCUCACCAAGCUGUAACUGACGCUAAGGGACGAAAGCGUGGGGAUCAAACAGGAUUAGAUACCCUGGUAGUCCACGCCGUAAACGAUGGUCACUCGAUGUUGGCGAUACACAGUCAGCGUCUGAGCGAAAGCAUUAAGUGACCCACCUGGGGAGUACGAUCGCAAGAUUGAAACUCAAGGAAUUGACGGGGCCCGCWCAAGCGAGGAGCAUGUGGUUUAAUUCGAUG
Molecule: ribosomal RNA, 943 nt
Filed under: uncultured bacterium
Lineage: Bacteria
Description: bacterial SSU rRNA
Rfam family: Bacterial small subunit ribosomal RNA
Source: RNAcentral